This 873-nucleotide long non-coding RNA is filed under the name Capra hircus (goat). Its description in RNAcentral is "lncRNA (ENSCHIG00010003892.1)". Lineage: Eukaryota; Metazoa; Chordata; Mammalia; Artiodactyla; Bovidae. The record is from RNAcentral.
GUGGCCGUCGGCCCGCAGAGGGAGCAAGAGAGCCCUUUAGAAUAGGAGGAAGAAGGAGAGAGCGGAAGAGAAAGAGAAAGGUUCAAGGGCAGAAUUUCAGACUCAAGUGUGCAUAAAUAUCAAGGACCCAGUCCUGGAAAUUCUGAUUUAAUGGAUAAGAGGUGGACCUCAAGAAUUUUACAAGUACCUGCAAUGUGGUCCCUGGACCACAUGUGAAAGCAUUGCCCUGAGGGAAGGUCAAAGAAGAUGGGAAUCCAGCCAUCAGUUAAUUUCAAUCUUGAGCCACAGGAGGAAAUAAAGACAUAUCAAAACUAGCUUCUGAUUCAAUUAUCCUUUCAAUUCCGAUUGAUUCACCCUCUGAAAGAAGACCUAAGAUUUUCUCACUUACUCCCUAGUAUUCACUUCCCCAACCUUCCCUUGCCAUUUAGAAGAAUGAAGGCAAAGACUAUAAUGGAAAAAUGAUGAGAUACAGGAAUUUGCAGAUUAUUCUGGAUAGGUAUUUUCUUUGGUUAAUUAGGAAUUGCUAAAAUUUUUUCUUAGGAAAAAAAAUUCUUGAGUAUUAUUCCUCUUUUGUUCUCACAUUUUGUAUGUAAUUGUUAUCGAUUUUGGUCCUAACUGGUUUCACCCAUAAUACUGAUCUUUUUAUGCAGGAAUAAGGCUGUGAAUUUUCUUCUGCUUGGUGUACAGUAAGUAUAGACAGGAUUACUAGUGUUAACAGCCUGACACCACAGAAAGAUCAUAGAGUUAAGAAUCCUAAGAUCUGAAUUCAAAUCUGGAUUCUGGAUAUAGUAGCUGAGUGUACAAAGGGCUGGUUCUUGACAUCCCUGCUGCUGCUACUGCUAAGUCACUUCAGUCGUGUCUGACUCUGUGCGA